Molecule: transfer RNA, 74 nt
Filed under: Roya obtusa
Lineage: Eukaryota; Viridiplantae; Streptophyta; Zygnematophyceae; Zygnematales; Mesotaeniaceae
Description: tRNA-Asp
Rfam family: tRNA
About the family: Transfer RNA (tRNA) molecules are approximately 80 nucleotides in length. Their secondary structure includes four short double-helical elements and three loops (D, anti-codon, and T loops).
Source: RNAcentral
GGGGAAGUAGCUUAGUUGGAUAAAGCGCCAGCCUGUCACGUUGGAGAUCACGGGUUCGAGUCCCGCCUUUCUCG